UAGAAAUGGCUGCUAAUACCGCAUAAGACCACAGUACUGCAUGGUACAGUGGUAAAAACUCCGGUGGUAUGAGAUGGACCCGCGUCUGAUUAGGUAGUUGGUGAGGUAACGGCCCACCAAGCCGACGAUCAGUAGCCGACCUGAGAGGGUGACCGGCCACAUCGGGACUGAGACACGGUCCAGACUCCUACGGGAGGCAGCAGUGGGGAAUAUUGCACAAUGGGCGAAAGCCUGAUGCAGCGACGCCGCGUGAAGGAUGAAGUAUUUCGGUAUGUAAACUUCUAUCAGCAGGGAAGAAAAUGACGGUACCUGACUAAGAAGCCCCGGCUAACUACGUGCCAGCAGCCGCGGUAAUACGUAGGGGGCAAGCGUUAUCCGGAUUUACUGGGUGUAAAGGGAGCGUAGACGGCUGUGCAAGUCUGAAGUGAAAGGCAUGGGCUCAACCUGUGGACUGCUUUGGAAACUGUGCAGCUAGAGUGUCGGAGAGGUAAGUGGAAUUCCUAGUGUAGCGGUGAAAUGCGUAGAUAUCGGGAGGAACACCAGUGGCGAAGGCGGCCUACUGGGCACCAACUGACGCUGAGGCUCGAAAGUGUGGGUAGCAAACAGGAUUAGAUACCCUGGUAG
Molecule: ribosomal RNA, 624 nt
Filed under: uncultured bacterium
Lineage: Bacteria
Description: bacterial SSU rRNA
Rfam family: Bacterial small subunit ribosomal RNA
Source: RNAcentral